GAUGAACGCUGGCGGCGUGCCUAAUACAUGCAAGUCGAGCGAACGGACGAGAAGCUUGCUCCUCUGAUGUUAGCGGCGGACGGGUGAGUAACACGUGGAUAACCUACCUAUAAGACUGGGAUAACUUCGGGAAACCGGAGCUAAUACCGGAUAAUAUUUUGAACCGCAUGGUUCAAUAGUGAAAGACGGUCUUGCUGUCACUUAUAGAUGGAUCCGCGCCGCAUUAGCUAGUUGGUAAGGUAACGGCUUACCAAGGCAACGAUGCAUAGCCGACCUGAGAGGGUGAUCGGCCACACUGGAACUGAGACACGGUCCAGACUCCUACGGGAGGCAGCAGUAGGGAAUCUUCCGCAAUGGGCGAAAGCUUGACGGAGCAACGCCGCGUGAGUGAUGAAGGUCUUCGGAUCGUAAAACUCUGUUAUUAGGGAAGAACAUAUGUGUAAGUAACUGUGCACGUCUUGACGGUACCUAAUCAGAAAGCCACGGCUAACUACGUG
This 497-nucleotide ribosomal RNA is filed under the name uncultured bacterium. RNAcentral's name for it is "partial 16S ribosomal RNA". It matches the Rfam family "Bacterial small subunit ribosomal RNA", at positions 28 to 507 of the family's 1533-position model. The record is from RNAcentral.